UACAGAGGGUGCGAGCGUUAAUCGGAAUUACUGGGCGUAAAGCGUGCGUAGACGGCUAUCUAAGUCGGGUGUGAAAGCCCCGGGCUCAACCUGGGAAUUGCAUUCGAGACUGAAUAGCUAGGGUACGGUAGAGGGAAGUGGAAUUUCCGGUGUAGCGGUGAAAUGCGUAGAUAUCGAGAAGAACACUUAGGGCGUAGGCAAGACUCUGGACAAAUGCUGACGCUCAUGCACGAAGGCUAGGGUAGCGAACGGG
Molecule: ribosomal RNA, 253 nt
Filed under: uncultured bacterium
Lineage: Bacteria
Description: partial 16S ribosomal RNA
Rfam family: Bacterial small subunit ribosomal RNA
Source: RNAcentral